Cinara cedri is the source of this 232-nucleotide non-coding RNA. NCBI's taxonomy places the organism in Eukaryota, Metazoa, Arthropoda, Insecta, Hemiptera, Aphididae. The record is from the annotation of a GenBank genome assembly.
CGAAACGCCGAUUUUCUAGGAUUUUCAUCAUGGAAUCGUUUAAGAUUUACACCUAUAGGUAUUCUCUCAUACCUCAUGUGUGUAUUGAGUCAUUUUCAAACCGGAACUUCCUCCCUCCCACGCUUUUAAUCUCAAAUUAAAAUAGAGAAUAUUUCUAUCCAAUCAUAUUGACGCGCAUAACACUAUAAUAUCGGAUUUGCCGUUUAUGAGUUAUAACAGUAUGCAGUUUAGA